UCGAGUCACCUCGGAAAGAGAUAAAUGGCGAGAGCUCCUGUUGCAGUAGCAGUCUUCCUGGUUCUUCUCCUCCUAUCCUUGCUCCAAAUCUCUCCUGCUGCAGGUUUGUUGUGCUGAAAGAAGGUUGUUCUUUCCGCUACUAACAGAUUUGAACUUUCAGCAUCCAAUCUAGUAGCACCGCGUAAGCUGCUUCUAGUCGUCUUGCAUGAUGGAGAACCCGCUCCUCCUGGAAAGGUCUGAUAACUCUCUUCUUCUCAAACCGUGUUUCUUCAGUAGCAAGCUUUAGAGAAAAGAAGAAGAAAAGAGGGAAAUCACCUGACAGUUAGUUUGAAUUUCAACUGUUUGCAGCUAUAUCACUCGUCUCGCUGGAUUUCCGAAGAAGGCAGCUUUGAUGAGCAAGUCUUCCAUACUGACUAUCCCAACCCACACCGGGGACCUUCACCUGGUGGACAUUCUAACAAGCCAGGAAUCUAGAAACUUUACUCGGAAGCCUGCGGUGCUCGAGCCGAGCGAGAGAUAUCCUCAGUCUCUUCGAUAAUUCGUCCGUCCAGGGGUAUCAGAUUAGGAAUUCCAUCGAUGAUCUGCGGGAAAAGCGAGCAGUCAGAAGGAAUGAACAAGAGAAACACACGCAUAAAGAAGAAAAAAAGAAGAAAGAGAAAAGAAUAAAAAAAGAAGAAGAAGAAGAAGAAGAAAAAAAGUAACCAAUAAAGCUACGAAGUUUUGUAAGUCACAGUCGUGUAGAGAGCUCUCAUCACACGCACCGGAUAUGCGACGCCCAGUUCGUCGCUGAUGAGCUCCUGUCUCUUCUCACUAUAUCUGUGAAUGAUGGAUCAUCAGUGAGCAUACCAGUGUUUUUCAGCAUCUAGAGAAAAUUUUAACUCUAUUUUCUUCCGAGGAUUCGAUGCCGAUUUCCUGGCGGCAAUGAUAAACAAAUGAAAUAGCAGGGAAUUCCAAUCCAGUACAAUGCCAGGCGCGACGAAAGAGAGAAGAAUUUUUGCUGCCUAUCGAUUCCAUAGGUCGAUGAUUGAUCGUACCUGAGACCCGUCUUGCUGAGCGGGCACACCAGGAACUCGAGCAGCUUUGGAUCGAACGCGCGCUUGGCCAUCGCCAUGAAAAUCCACUCCCGGUGAAAUAUUUC
This 1138-nucleotide long non-coding RNA is filed under the name Selaginella moellendorffii. Its description in RNAcentral is "long non-coding RNA (SMOE_LNC001508)". Lineage: Eukaryota; Viridiplantae; Streptophyta; Lycopodiopsida; Selaginellales; Selaginellaceae. The record is from RNAcentral.